AUUGAACGCUGGCGGCAGGCCUAACACAUGCAAGUCGAGCGGAUGAAGGGAGCUUGCUCCUGGAUUCAGCGGCGGACGGGUGAGUAAUGCCUAGGAAUCUGCCUGGUAGUGGGGGAUAACGUCCGGAAACGGGCGCUAAUACCGCAUACGUCCUGAGGGAGAAAGUGGGGGAUCUUCGGACCUCACGCUAUCAGAUGAGCCUAGGUCGGAUUAGCUAGUUGGUGGGGUAAAGGCCUACCAAGGCGACGAUCCGUAACUGGUCUGAGAGGAUGAUCAGUCACACCGGAACUGAGAAAACGUUCAGACUCCCAAGGGAGGGAGCAGUGGGGAAUUAUUGGACAUGGGGCGAAGGCCUAUUCCGGCAAGGCGGCGGGGGGAAAAAGGUCUUCGGAUUGUAAAGCACUUUAAGUUGGGAGGAAGGGCAGUAAGUUAAUACCUUGCUGUUUUGACGUUACCAACAGAAUAAGCACCGGCUAACUUCGUG
RNAcentral lists this ribosomal RNA (484 nucleotides) under uncultured bacterium. RNAcentral describes it as "partial 16S ribosomal RNA". It matches the Rfam family "Bacterial small subunit ribosomal RNA", at positions 30 to 507 of the family's 1533-position model. The record is from RNAcentral.